CGGUGGAUGAUGUGGAUUAAUUCGAUGCAACGCGAAAACCUUACCUACCCUUGACAUGCUAGGAAUCCCGCAGAGAUGUGGGAGUGCUCGAAAGAGAACCUGGACACAGGUGCUGCAUGGCUGUCGUCAGCUCGUGUCGUGAGAUGUUGGGUUAAGUCCCGCAACGAGCGCAACCCUUGUCAUUAGUUGCUACGAAAGGGCACUCUAAUGAGACUGCCGGUGACAAACCGGAGGAAGGUGGGAUGACGUCAAGUCCUCAUGGCCCUUAUGUCUAGGGCUACACACGUACUACAAUGGCCGGUACAAAGGGCAGCCACUCAGCGAUGAGGCGCUAAUCCCAUAAAGCCGGUCUCAGUCCGGAUCGCAGUCUGCAACUCGACUGCGUGAAGUUGGAAUCGCUAGUAAUCGUAGAUCAGCAUGCUACGGUGAAUACGUUCCCGGGCCUU
Molecule: ribosomal RNA, 446 nt
Filed under: uncultured Comamonadaceae bacterium
Lineage: Bacteria; Pseudomonadati; Pseudomonadota; Betaproteobacteria; Burkholderiales; Comamonadaceae
Description: bacterial SSU rRNA
Rfam family: Bacterial small subunit ribosomal RNA
Source: RNAcentral